AUACGGAAGGUCCGGGCGUUAUCCGGAUUUAUUGGGUUUAAAGGGAGCGCAGGCGGAGAUGCAAGCGUGACGUCAAAUUUCGGGGCUCAACCACGUCUCGCGUCGCGAACUGCGUCCCUUGGUUGCGGGAAGGGGAGGCGGAACUCGUGGUGUAGCGGUGAAAUGCAUAGAUAUCACGAAGAACUCCGAUCGCGAAGGCAGCCUUCCGGCCCGUCAACGACGCUCAUGCUCGAAGGUGCGGGUAUCAAACAGGAUUAGAUACCCUGGUAGUCCGUACAGUAAACGAUGGACACCCGCGGUUUGGCCUGUAUGGCUGAGCCGCCAAGCGAAAGCGUUAAGUGUCCCACCUGGGGAGUACGCCGGCAACGGUGAAACUUAAAGGAAUUGACGGGG
Molecule: ribosomal RNA, 393 nt
Filed under: uncultured bacterium
Lineage: Bacteria
Description: partial 16S ribosomal RNA
Rfam family: Bacterial small subunit ribosomal RNA
Source: RNAcentral